AUUGAACGCUGGCGGCAUGCCUUACACAUGCAAGUCGAACGGUAACAGGUUAAGCUGACGAGUGGCGAACGGGUGAGUAAUGUAUCGGAACGUGCCCAGUCGUGGGGGAUAACUGCUCGAAAGAGCAGCUAAUACCGCAUACGACCUGAGGGUGAAAGCGGGGGAUCGCAAGCCCUCGCGCGAUUGGAGCGGCCGAUAUCAGAUUAGGUAGUUGGUGAGGUAAAGGCUCACCAAGCCGACGAUCUGUAGCUGGUCUGAGAGGACGACCAGCCACACUGGGACUGAGACACGGCCCAGACUCCUACGGGAGGCAGCAGUGGGGAAUUUUAGACAAUGGGCGCAAGCCUGAUCCAGCCAUGCCGCGUGCGGGAAGAAGGCCUUCGGGUUGUAAACCGCUUUUGUCAGGGAAGAAAAGGUUCUGGCUAAUACCUGGGACUCAUGACGGUACCUGAAGAAUAAGCACCGGCUAACUACGUG
RNAcentral lists this ribosomal RNA (477 nucleotides) under uncultured bacterium. RNAcentral's name for it is "partial 16S ribosomal RNA". It matches the Rfam family "Bacterial small subunit ribosomal RNA", at positions 30 to 507 of the family's 1533-position model. The record is from RNAcentral.